This 1525-nucleotide ribosomal RNA is filed under the name Lacticaseibacillus rhamnosus. RNAcentral describes it as "bacterial SSU rRNA". It matches the Rfam family "Bacterial small subunit ribosomal RNA". Lineage: Bacteria; Bacillati; Bacillota; Bacilli; Lactobacillales; Lactobacillaceae. The record is from RNAcentral.
ACCGAGGCGCUGCUAAUACAUGCAAGUCGAACGAGUUCUGAUUAUUGAAAGGUGCUUGCAUCUUGAUUUAAUUUUGAACGAGUGGCGGACGGGUGAGUAACACGUGGGUAACCUGCCCUUAAGUGGGGGAUAACAUUUGGAAACAGAUGCUAAUACCGCAUAAAUCCAAGAACCGCAUGGUUCUUGGCUGAAAGAUGGCGUAAGCUAUCGCUUUUGGAUGGACCCGCGGCGUAUUAGCUAGUUGGUGAGGUAACGGCUCACCAAGGCAAUGAUACGUAGCCGAACUGAGAGGUUGAUCGGCCACAUUGGGACUGAGACACGGCCCAAACUCCUACGGGAGGCAGCAGUAGGGAAUCUUCCACAAUGGACGCAAGUCUGAUGGAGCAACGCCGCGUGAGUGAAGAAGGCUUUCGGGUCGUAAAACUCUGUUGUUGGAGAAGAAUGGUCGGCAGAGUAACUGUUGUCGGCGUGACGGUAUCCAACCAGAAAGCCACGGCUAACUACGUGCCAGCAGCCGCGGUAAUACGUAGGUGGCAAGCGUUAUCCGGAUUUAUUGGGCGUAAAGCGAGCGCAGGCGGUUUUUUAAGUCUGAUGUGAAAGCCCUCGGCUUAACCGAGGAAGUGCAUCGGAAACUGGGAAACUUGAGUGCAGAAGAGGACAGUGGAACUCCAUGUGUAGCGGUGAAAUGCGUAGAUAUAUGGAAGAACACCAGUGGCGAAGGCGGCUGUCUGGUCUGUAACUGACGCUGAGGCUCGAAAGCAUGGGUAGCGAACAGGAUUAGAUACCCUGGUAGUCCAUGCCGUAAACGAUGAAUGCUAGGUGUUGGAGGGUUUCCGCCCUUCAGUGCCGCAGCUAACGCAUUAAGCAUUCCGCCUGGGGAGUACGACCGCAAGGUUGAAACUCAAAGGAAUUGACGGGGGCCCGCACAAGCGGUGGAGCAUGUGGUUUAAUUCGAAGCAACGCGAAGAACCUUACCAGGUCUUGACAUCUUUUGAUCACCUGAGAGAUCAGGUUUCCCCUUCGGGGGCAAAAUGACAGGUGGUGCAUGGUUGUCGUCAGCUCGUGUCGUGAGAUGUUGGGUUAAGUCCCGCAACGAGCGCAACCCUUAUGACUAGUUGCCAGCAUUUUAGUUGGGCACUCUAGUAAGACUGCCGGUGACAAACCGGAGGAAGGUGGGGAUGACGUCAAAUCAUCAUGCCCCUUAUGACCUGGGCUACACACGUGCUACAAUGGAUGGUACAACGAGUUGCGAGACCGCGAGGUCAAGCUAAUCUCUUAAAGCCAUUCUCAGUUCGGACUGUAGGCUGCAACUCGCCUACACGAAGUCGGAAUCGCUAGUAAUCGCGGAUCAGCACGCCGCGGUGAAUACGUUCCCGGGCCUUGUACACACCGCCCGUCACACCAUGAGAGUUUGUAACACCCGAAGCCGGUGGCGUAACCCUUUUAGGGAGCGAGCCGUCUAAGGUGGGACAAAUGAUUAGGGUGAAGUCGUAACAAGGUACCGUAGGAGACCUGCGCGUGGAAA